Molecule: ribosomal RNA, 977 nt
Filed under: metagenome
Description: bacterial LSU rRNA
Rfam family: Bacterial large subunit ribosomal RNA
Source: RNAcentral
CCUAAGGUAGCGAAAUUCCUUGUCGGGUAAGUUCCGACCUGCACGAAUGGCAUAAUGAUGGCCAGGCUGUCUCCACCCGAGACUCAGUGAAAUUGAAAUCGCCGUGAAGAUGCGGUGUACCCGCGGCUAGACGGAAAGACCCCGUGAACCUUUACUAUAGCUUGACACUGAACAUUGAAUUUUGAUGUGUAGGAUAGGUGGGAGACUUUGAAGUAGUCACGCCAGUGAUUAUGGAGUCGUCCUUGAAAUACCACCCUUUAACGUUUGAUGUUCUAACGAAGAUUACGAAACGUGGUCUCGGACAGUGUCUGGUGGGUAGUUUGACUGGGGCGGUCUCCUCCCAAAGAGUAACGGAGGAGCACGAAGGUUUGCUAAUGACGGUCGGACAUCGUCAGGUUAGUGCAAUGGUAUAAGCAAGCUUAACUGCGAGACAGACAAGUCGAGCAGGUACGAAAGUAGGUCAUAGUGAUCCGGUGGUUCUGAAUGGAAGGGCCAUCGCUCAACGGAUAAAAGGUACUCCGGGGAUAACAGGCUGAUACCGCCCAAGAGUUCAUAUCGACGGCGGUGUUUGGCACCUCGAUGUCGGCUCAUCACAUCCUGGGGCUGAAGUAGGUCCCAAGGGUAUGGCUGUUCGCCAUUUAAAGUGGUACGCGAGCUGGGUUUAGAACGUCGUGAGACAGUUCGGUCCCUAUCUGCCGUGGGCGUUGGAGAAUUGAUUGGGGCUGCUCCUAGUACGAGAGGACCGGAGUGGACGCACCACUGGUGUUCCGGUUGUGUCGCCAGACGCAUUGCCGGGUAGCUAAGUGCGGAAGAGAUAAGUGCUGAAAGCAUCUAAGCACGAAACUUGCCAAGAGAUGAGUUCUCCCUGUUUUUAAGACAGUAAGGGUUGUUUAAGACUAAGACGUAGAUAGGUCUGGUGUGUAAGCGGUGCGAGCCGUUGAGCUAACAGAUACUAAUUGCCCGAGAGGCUUAACUAU